This is a long non-coding RNA of Tyto alba (common barn owl), 263 nucleotides long. RefSeq lists it as uncharacterized. The transcript is spliced from 3 exons. The record is from RefSeq and is a predicted model, not a curated record. Lineage: Eukaryota; Metazoa; Chordata; Aves; Strigiformes; Tytonidae.
CAAAGUGAUACAAGUAUGUUGUCAUAGCAACAGAAAUUAUCAAAUAAUUUUGGAUAACGUUCCAUCUAAUUUAGUAUUUUAUCUUCUACAGUGACAAGCUGCAACAAGUUUGAAAAAACAUUGAUCUCCUACCAUGAAACGGGCUGAGUGUUACAGAAGGUGAAUCAUCAUGUCAAAGUAUCGAGGCUGUACAAUUUUACAUGGAUGCAAAAGGACUCGUGAUUAUAACAAUUUAAAGCAAACAUGGAGCCUAAUUCGGGAAA